GAGGGUAUAGCUCAGUGGUAGAACGUUUGCUUAGCAUGCACAAGGUCCUGGGUCCAAUCCCCAGUUCCUCCG
RNAcentral lists this transfer RNA (72 nucleotides) under Camelus bactrianus (Bactrian camel). It matches the Rfam family "tRNA". Rfam says of the family: Transfer RNA (tRNA) molecules are approximately 80 nucleotides in length. Their secondary structure includes four short double-helical elements and three loops (D, anti-codon, and T loops). The record is from Rfam by way of RNAcentral. Lineage: Eukaryota; Metazoa; Chordata; Mammalia; Artiodactyla; Camelidae. RNAcentral also lists the same sequence under 1 other name.